GACGAACGCUGGCGGCGUGCCUAAUACAUGCAAGUCGGACGAAGUUGUUUUAACUGGUGCUUGCACCGACUUAAACAACUGAGUGGCGAACGGGUGAGUAACACGUGGGUAACCUGCCCCAAAGUGGGGGAUAACAUUUGGAAACAGAUGCUAAUACCGCAUAACCACAGAAACCCCAUGGUUUCUGUGUCAAAGAUGGUUUCGGCUAUCACUUUGGGAUGGACCCGCGGCGUAUUAGCUAGUUGGUAAGG
This 251-nucleotide ribosomal RNA is filed under the name uncultured bacterium. RNAcentral describes it as "partial 16S ribosomal RNA". It matches the Rfam family "Bacterial small subunit ribosomal RNA", at positions 28 to 257 of the family's 1533-position model. The record is from RNAcentral.